AUAGGUAGUCUGGAUAGGAAGAAGCACAAACAGUUUAAUACAUGUAGAGGAGGCAUAAAAUAGCAUCACCACAAAACAGAAAAGGACUUCAUUAUAAGGAUAGUGAAAUCAUAAAAAUUCCCAUGCUAUACAUAUUUUAAAGAACUAAUCGUUUCAACAUAACUCCUGGAAGUAGUUUCACCUUGUAUUCCUUUCACAGAUUAAGAAAAAAAUUUACUCCAUUUUGAAUGUAAACAUACCUCCAAUCCACCACACAUGCUUGCAAUGUUUCAAAUAUUUCAGUACUUUAUCCAACUUAAAAUAAGAACA
RNAcentral lists this unclassified non-coding RNA (309 nucleotides) under Hevea brasiliensis (rubber tree). Lineage: Eukaryota; Viridiplantae; Streptophyta; Magnoliopsida; Malpighiales; Euphorbiaceae. The record is from RNAcentral.